Molecule: long non-coding RNA, 493 nt
Organism: Pezoporus flaviventris
Lineage: Eukaryota; Metazoa; Chordata; Aves; Psittaciformes; Psittacidae
Exons: 2
Source: RefSeq, a predicted model, not a curated record
CCCCUGGGUGCCCAGUGGCCAUGGGCACGAUGCUGCCGCCAUCCCAAAGCCGUGGCGGUCGCUGUGGAUUUGCCCAUUGUGACGGGGCCCCCACGGUGAGCGUGGGCUCUUUAAGGAGGGAGAGCCCUGCAGUAACCGGUGCAGAGGAGAGCCCUCCCCUCCCUCGGGAGGCUGCAUCUCCCGGGGCUGCCCUGCGCAUCCAGGGCAAAGUAAUUUGUCAGGCGUGUGGCACGUGAAAUCUUCACCAUAAACACUGUGUGACUUGUGCAAGCAAGCUGCCUGAAAUACAGACGCUGAGGCUUCUUGCAUCAAUCACAGCUGGGUUAAUCAAAUCAAAGCACAGCACUCUUUUUCUCUGGAAAACUGAAGUCCUAGCCCUGUGUCCCUGCACCUCUUUCUGUUACACAGCUGAUCUGUUCAUUUGGGUUUAACAGCUCAGCAACAAGCUGGGUCUUUUGCUUCGCUCGAGAUGAGGAAAAGAAAUAAUUCUGAA